This is a small nuclear RNA of Cricetulus griseus (Chinese hamster), 140 nucleotides long. Its record names the gene U1. It matches the Rfam family "U1 spliceosomal RNA". Rfam says of the family: U1 is a small nuclear RNA (snRNA) component of the spliceosome (involved in pre-mRNA splicing). Its 5' end forms complementary base pairs with the 5' splice junction, thus defining the 5' donor site of an intron. The record is from Ensembl. NCBI's taxonomy places the organism in Eukaryota, Metazoa, Chordata, Mammalia, Rodentia, Cricetidae.
AAAAUUGCAUCAACAAAGCCGGGUGUUGGUAGCGCAACAGGGUUUCUCUGAGUGUGCCGACCGCUGUGAUUUUUCCCAAAUGCAGGAAACUCGACUGCAUAAUUUGUAGUAGUGGGGGACUCUGUUCACACUCUCCCCUG